This 43-nucleotide transfer RNA is filed under the name Chuquiraga spinosa subsp. australis. RNAcentral's name for it is "partial tRNA-His". The record is from RNAcentral. Lineage: Eukaryota; Viridiplantae; Streptophyta; Magnoliopsida; Asterales; Asteraceae.
GAUGUAGCCAAGUGGAUCAAGGCAGUGGAUUUGUGAAUCCMCC